GACGUAGGAUGCAAGCGUUGUCCGGAUUUAUUGGGCGUAAAGAGUUCGUAGGUGGUUUGUUAAGUCUGAUGUUAAAGCCUGGGGCUCAACCUCGGAAAUGCAUUGGAUACUGGCAGACUUGAGUGUGGUAGAGGCAAUCGGAAUUCCAGGUGUAGCGGUGAAAUGCGUAGAUAUCUGGAAGAACACCGGUGGCGCAAGCGGAUUGCUGGGCCAUAACUGACACUGAGGAACGAAAGCUAGGGGAGCGAACAGG
RNAcentral lists this ribosomal RNA (253 nucleotides) under uncultured bacterium. RNAcentral's name for it is "partial 16S ribosomal RNA". It matches the Rfam family "Bacterial small subunit ribosomal RNA", at positions 524 to 776 of the family's 1533-position model. The record is from RNAcentral.